RNAcentral lists this ribosomal RNA (1556 nucleotides) under Salmonella enterica subsp. enterica serovar Rubislaw str. ATCC 10717. RNAcentral's name for it is "bacterial SSU rRNA". It matches the Rfam family "Bacterial small subunit ribosomal RNA". Lineage: Bacteria; Pseudomonadati; Pseudomonadota; Gammaproteobacteria; Enterobacterales; Enterobacteriaceae. The record is from RNAcentral.
UUAAAUUGAAGAGUUUGAUCAUGGCUCAGAUUGAACGCUGGCGGCAGGCCUAACACAUGCAAGUCGAACGGUAACAGGAAGCAGCUUGCUGCUUUGCUGACGAGUGGCGGACGGGUGAGUAAUGUCUGGGAAACUGCCUGAUGGAGGGGGAUAACUACUGGAAACGGUGGCUAAUACCGCAUAACGUCGCAAGACCAAAGAGGGGGACCUUCGGGCCUCUUGCCAUCAGAUGUGCCCAGAUGGGAUUAGCUAGUUGGUGAGGUAACGGCUCACCAAGGCGACGAUCCCUAGCUGGUCUGAGAGGAUGACCAGCCACACUGGAACUGAGACACGGUCCAGACUCCUACGGGAGGCAGCAGUGGGGAAUAUUGCACAAUGGGCGCAAGCCUGAUGCAGCCAUGCCGCGUGUAUGAAGAAGGCCUUCGGGUUGUAAAGUACUUUCAGCGGGGAGGAAGGUGUUGUGGUUAAUAACCACAGCAAUUGACGUUACCCGCAGAAGAAGCACCGGCUAACUCCGUGCCAGCAGCCGCGGUAAUACGGAGGGUGCAAGCGUUAAUCGGAAUUACUGGGCGUAAAGCGCACGCAGGCGGUCUGUCAAGUCGGAUGUGAAAUCCCCGGGCUCAACCUGGGAACUGCAUUCGAAACUGGCAGGCUUGAGUCUUGUAGAGGGGGGUAGAAUUCCAGGUGUAGCGGUGAAAUGCGUAGAGAUCUGGAGGAAUACCGGUGGCGAAGGCGGCCCCCUGGACAAAGACUGACGCUCAGGUGCGAAAGCGUGGGGAGCAAACAGGAUUAGAUACCCUGGUAGUCCACGCCGUAAACGAUGUCUACUUGGAGGUUGUGCCCUUGAGGCGUGGCUUCCGGAGCUAACGCGUUAAGUAGACCGCCUGGGGAGUACGGCCGCAAGGUUAAAACUCAAAUGAAUUGACGGGGGCCCGCACAAGCGGUGGAGCAUGUGGUUUAAUUCGAUGCAACGCGAAGAACCUUACCUGGUCUUGACAUCCACAGAACUUUCCAGAGAUGGAUUGGUGCCUUCGGGAACUGUGAGACAGGUGCUGCAUGGCUGUCGUCAGCUCGUGUUGUGAAAUGUUGGGUUAAGUCCCGCAACGAGCGCAACCCUUAUCCUUUGUUGCCAGCGGUCCGGCCGGGAACUCAAAGGAGACUGCCAGUGAUAAACUGGAGGAAGGUGGGGAUGACGUCAAGUCAUCAUGGCCCUUACGACCAGGGCUACACACGUGCUACAAUGGCGCAUACAAAGAGAAGCGACCUCGCGAGAGCAAGCGGACCUCAUAAAGUGCGUCGUAGUCCGGAUUGGAGUCUGCAACUCGACUCCAUGAAGUCGGAAUCGCUAGUAAUCGUGGAUCAGAAUGCCACGGUGAAUACGUUCCCGGGCCUUGUACACACCGCCCGUCACACCAUGGGAGUGGGUUGCAAAAGAAGUAGGUAGCUUAACCUUCGGGAGGGCGCUUACCACUUUGUGAUUCAUGACUGGGGUGAAGUCGUAACAAGGUAACCGUAGGGGAACCUGCGGUUGGAUCACCUCCUUACCUUAAAGAAGC